GGUUAAGCGACUAAGCGUACACGGUGGAUGCCCUGGCAGUCAGAGGCGAUGAAGGACGUGCUAAUCUGCGAUAAGCGUCGGURAGGUGAUAUGAACCGUUAUAACCGGCGAUUUCCGAAUGGGGAAACCCAGUGUGUUUCGACACACUAUCAUUAACUGAAUCCAUAGGUUAAUGAGGCGAACCGGGGGAACUGAAACAUCUAAGUACCCCGAGGAAAAGAAAUCAACCGAGAUUCCCCCAGUAGCGGCGAGCGAACGGGGAGCAGCCCAGAGCCUGAAUCAGUGUGUGUGUUAGUGGAAGCGUCUGGAAAGGCGYGCGAUACAGGGUGACAGCCCCGUACACAAAAAUGCACAUACUGUGAGCUCGAUGAGUAGGGCGGGACACGUGGUAUCCUGUCUGAAUAUGGGGGGACCAUCCUCCAAGGCUAAAUACUCCUGACUGACCGAUAGUGAACCAGUACCGUGAGGGAAAGGCGAAAAGAACCCCGGCGAGGGGAGUGAAAAAGAACCUGAAACCGUGUACGUACAAGCAGUGGGAGCCUCUUAAUGGGGUGACUGCGUACCUUUUGUAUAAUGGGUCAGCGACUUAUAUUCUGUAGCAAGGUUAACCGAAUAGGGGAGCCGAAGGGAAACCGAGUCUUAACUGGGCGUUAAGUUGCAGGGUAUAGACCCGAAACCCGGUGAUCUAGCCAUGGGCAGGUUGAAGGUUGGGUAACACUAACUGGAGGACCGAACCGACUAAUGUUGAAAAAUUAGCGGAUGACUUGUGGCUGGGGGUGAAAGGCCAAUCAAACCGGGAGAUAGCUGGUUCUCCCCGAAAGCUAUUUAGGUAGCGCCUCGUGAAUUCAUCUCCGGGGGUAGAGCACUGUUUCGGCAAGGGGGUCAUCCCGACUUACCAACCCGAUGCAAACUGCGAAUACCGGAGAAUGUUAUCACGGGAGACACACGGCGGGUGCUAACGUCCGUCGUGAAGAGGGAAACAACCCAGACCGCCAGCUAAGGUCCCAAAGUCAUGGUUAAGUGGGAAACGAUGUGGGAAGGCCCAGACAGCCAGGAUGUUGGCUUAGAAGCAGCCAUCAUUUAAAGAAAGCGUAAUAGCUCACUGGUCGAGUCGGCCUGCGCGGAAGAUGUAACGGGGCUAAACCAUGCACCGAAGCUGCGGCAGCGACACUAUGUGUUGUUGGGUAGGGGAGCGUUCUGUAAGCCUGYGAAGGUGUACUGUGAGGUAUGCUGGAGGUAUCAGAAGUGCGAAUGCUGACAUAAGUAACGAUAAAGCGGGUGAAAAGCCCGCUCGCCGGAAGACCAAGGGUUCCUGUCCAACGUUAAUCGGGGCAGGGUGAGUCGACCCCUAAGGCGAGGCCGAAAGGCGUAGUCGAUGGGAAACAGGUUAAUAUUCCUGUACUUGGUGUUACUGCGAAGGGGGGACGGAGAAGGCUAUGUUGGCCGGGCGACGGUUGUCCCGGUUUAAGCGUGUAGGCUGRUUUUCCAGGCAAAUCCGGAAAAUCAAGGCUGAGGCGUGAUGACGAGGCACUACGGUGCUGAAGCAACAAAUGCCCUGCUUCCAGGAAAAGCCUCUAAGCAUCAGGUAACAUCAAAUCGUACCCCAAACCGACACAGGUGGUCAGGUAGAGAAUACCAAGGCGCUUGAGAGAACUCGGGUGAAGGAACUAGGCAAAAUGGUGCCGUAACUUCGGGAGAAGGCACGCUGAUAUGUAGGUGAAGUCCCUYGCGGAUGGAGCUGAAAUCAGUCGAAGAUACCAGCUGGCUGCAACUGUUUAUUAAAAACACAGCACUGUGCAAACACGAAAGUGGACGUAUACGGUGUGACGCCUGCCCGGUGCCGGAAGGUUAAUUGAUGGGGUUAGCGGUAACGCGAAGCUCUUGAUCGAAGCCCCGGUAAACGGCGGCCGUAACUAUAACGGUCCUAAGGUAGCGAAAUUCCUUGUCGGGUAAGUUCCGACCUGCACGAAUGGCGUAAUGAUGGCCAGGCUGUCUCCACCCGAGACUCAGUGAAAUUGAACUCGCUGUGAAGAUGCAGUGUACCCGCGGCAAGACGGAAAGACCCCGUGAACCUUUACUAUAGCUUGACACUGAACAUUGAGCCUUGAUGUGUAGGAUAGGUGGGAGGCUUUGAAGUGUGGACGCCAGUCUGCAUGGAGCCGGCCUUGAAAUACCACCCUUUAAUGUUUGAUGUUCUAACGUUGGCCCCUGAUCGGGGUUGCGGACAGUGUCUGGUGGGUAGUUUGACUGGGGCGGUCUCCUCCUAAAGAGUAACGGAGGAGCACGAAGGUUGGCUAAUCCUGGUCGGACAUCAGGAGGUUAGUGCAAUGGCAUAAGCCAGCUUGACUGCGAGCGUGACGGCGCGAGCAGGUGCGAAAGCAGGUCAUAGUGAUCCGGUGGUUCUGAAUGGAAGGGCCAUCGCUCAACGGAUAAAAGGUACUCCGGGGAUAACAGGCUGAUACCGCCCAAGAGUUCAUAUCGACGGCGGUGUUUGGCACCUCGAUGUCGGCUCAUCACAUCCUGGGGCUGAAGUAGGUCCCAAGGGUAUGGCUGUUCGCCAUUUAAAGUGGUACGCGAGCUGGGUUUAGAACGUCGUGAGACAGUUCGGUCCCUAUCUGCCGUGGGCGCUGGAGAACUGAGGGGGGCUGCUCCUAGUACGAGAGGACCGGAGUGGACGCAUCACUGGUGUUCGGGUUGUCAUGCCAAUGGCACUGCCCGGUAGCUAAAUGCGGAAGAGAUAAGUGCUGAAAGCAUCUAAGCACGAAACUUGCCCCGAGAUGAGUUCUCCCUGACUCCUUGAGAGUCCUGAAGGAACGUUGAAGACGACGACGUUGAUAGGCCGGGUGUGUAAGCGCAGCGAUGCGUUGAGCUAACCGGUACUAAUGAACCGUGAGGCUUAACCUU
Molecule: ribosomal RNA, 2904 nt
Filed under: Escherichia coli
Lineage: Bacteria; Pseudomonadati; Pseudomonadota; Gammaproteobacteria; Enterobacterales; Enterobacteriaceae
Description: 23S ribosomal RNA
Source: RNAcentral